RNAcentral lists this ribosomal RNA (433 nucleotides) under uncultured bacterium. Its description in RNAcentral is "partial 16S ribosomal RNA". It matches the Rfam family "Bacterial small subunit ribosomal RNA", at positions 29 to 507 of the family's 1533-position model. The record is from RNAcentral.
AACGAACGCUGGCGGCAUGCCUAACACAUGUAAGUCGAACGAGACCUUCGGGUCUAGUGGCGCACGGGUGCGUAACGCGUGGGAACCUGCCCUUAGGUUCGGAAUAACUCCCCGAAAGGGGUGCUAAUGCCGGAUAAUGUCUUCGGACCAAAAAUUUAUCGCCUUUGGAUGGGCCCGCGUUGGAUUAGCUAGUUGGUAGGGUAAAAGCCUACCAAGGCGACGAUCCAUAGCUGGUCUGAGAGGAUGAUCAGCCACACUGGGACUGAGACACGGCCCAGACUCCUACGGGAGGCAGCAGUGGGGAAUAUUGGACAAUGGGCGAAAGCCUGAUCCAGCAAUGCCGCGUGAGUGAUGAAGGCCUUAGGGUUGUAAAGCUCUUUUACCCGGGAUGAUAAUGACAGUACCGGGAGAAUAAGCUCCGGCUAACUCCGUG